GACAGUGUGGUUGGCUACAAAUUCCUCCCAUCUCUGUAUCAUGCCUUUUGCAAGGUAACUUUUCUGCGCCUCUCAUCAAGAGGUGAAGUCUCUUUCCCUACCCCUUGAACCAGGACUUGGCCAUGGAACUAUAGUAAACAUGACACAGCUGGAACCUUGCCUCUACCUUUUGGAGUUUGCCCUCUCUUGGUGCUCUUUGCAACGCUGAGUUCACCAUGUGAAGACUACUGGACCCCAUGGAGCAGAGACAAGCCUUUCCAGCUGUGGCCCCUUAGACCAACCACCCUGCCAACUACCAGACAUAGUUGCGACAUUGAGGGAGAAGUGAGGCAGUCACAUUUCAGGCUGAGGACAAGAACCAUGUACACAGACUCUACUCAGAUGGCAUCUAACUGUUGUUAAGUGAUUUCUCUCAGGAUAACCUCAGUGAGGGUCUGACGACAAUAAAGGACUUAGAAGAGGAAUUGUUGGAGAGAUUCUGAUUCAGGAGUGUUGUGGGGCCCAAGAUUCUCCAUUUCUAAUGAACUGCCAGGCGAUGCUCGCCUCUCACCCUGAUGGGUUUUCUGACAGGCUGAAGAUUUAUCCUCCCCACUCUUUUUCCUGACUCAGAAGAGAAUUGCAGACCUGGAAUCUGCAAUGCCUCUGGCUCACUUGGUAAUUUACAAUUGAUGACUUGGAAAGAGAAUGAAGAUAAAGACGCUGACCUGGGAAGUGUCCUUUUAUAGAGAGGUAUUGUAAUUUGGUGGGGAAUGUUUUCAUGCAACUCUUUUGAAAAAACACAGCGGUUUAGCGAAUGUACUUUGAUCAAUGACUUAAUCAGCCAGGCUCUCAAAGGCCACUCCUUUCUGAGCAUAGAGACAAAGAUGUACAAUUUACUGAUUAGAAAAGAGGAGCAUGUAUAUUGAUAAAUUAAAAUUUAAAAAAGGGGGAGCACGUGGGUGCUAAUGAAAAUUAUACAAGUACAGUGGUGUACGAUUCCAUUUUGUGAUGCUCAAAGCCAGACAAUACUAACCUACGCUGCUAGAAGUAAAAGUAGAGGUUACCUUGGGGUAGGAGUUAGUGACUGGAAGGAAGCAUGAGAUGUACUUCUGGGGUGCUGGGAAUGUUCUAUUUCUUGAUUCUUUUGCUUGGUUGUAUUCACUUUGUGAAAUUUUAUUGAUAUAUACAGUUACGAUUUGUGCAAUUUUCUUUGUAUUUCAUGUUUUAUUAAAAAGUUUGCCAACAAAUAUCCAACAAAUAUAAA
Molecule: long non-coding RNA, 1243 nt
Organism: Galeopterus variegatus (Sunda flying lemur)
Lineage: Eukaryota; Metazoa; Chordata; Mammalia; Dermoptera; Cynocephalidae
Exons: 4
Source: RefSeq, a predicted model, not a curated record